GAUGAACGCUGGCGGCGUGCUUAACACAUGCAAGUCGAACGAUGAUGCCCAGCUUGCUGGGUGGAUUAGUGGCGAACGGGUGAGUAACACGUGAGUAACCUGCCCUUGACUCUGGGAUAAGCCUGGGAAACUGGGUCUAAUACCGGAUACGACCAUCUGGCGCAUGUCAUGGUGGUGGAAAGCUUUUGUGGUUUUGGAUGGACUCGCGGCCUAUCAGCUUGUUGGUGGGGUAAUGGCCUACCAAGGCGACGACGGGUAGCCGGCCUGAGAGGGUGACCGGCCACACUGGGACUGAGACACGGCCCAGACUCCUACGGGAGGCAGCAGUGGGGAAUAUUGCACAAUGGGCGCAAGCCUGAUGCAGCGACGCCGCGUGAGGGAUGACGGCCUUCGGGUUGUAAACCUCUUUCAGUAGGGAAGAAGCGGAAGUGACGGUACCUGCAGAAGAAGCGCCGGCUAACUACGUG
This 467-nucleotide ribosomal RNA is filed under the name uncultured bacterium. RNAcentral describes it as "partial 16S ribosomal RNA". It matches the Rfam family "Bacterial small subunit ribosomal RNA", at positions 28 to 507 of the family's 1533-position model. The record is from RNAcentral.